GCCAAAAGUACAAAGGUUUAGAAGGGGAGCUGGACUGACUCAGCCUGCCCUGUUGGAGGUUCUGUCCUCUGGCCACCAAAUGCAAAUCCCAGGUGCUUCAUGCACCAGGCUGGGGUGUAACCUGCUGUAAUCCACCUUUGGUGGAGGUGAUGCUCUGGAGGAUCCAAUGGGACAAGGAGAUGAAGAGUCCAGAAUGGGAUGGAGGACAGACCAGGCGGAUCCUUCCCUGGAGGCAGAUCUGUGAUCCUCUGGUAUUAUUCCUGGUCUGCGCUGCCUCUAGGCAUUUUGGAGCAGUUGGACAGAAGGUCUCCGUUCAAAUCCUGCCUCUAACACAGAGACUCUGACUCUUUGACCCAGCACAAAUCACUCCGACUCUCCAAGACAGUAAGUUCCAGGACAUUUGCUGAUCUGUAUGGGGAGAGGGCAUGUCUCCACCUGUGAAGUACCCACACUGAUGAAAUCACCCCUUCCAAGGUUGUUGUGAGAUAGUGGUAUAUGGAAAACACUUCACAACUGAGAGCCCUAUUAUAGAAAUGAUUGCUAUUAUUAUCCUACUACAGUCUUACAAAUGUAAUUACUUAAUUGUACUCUUGAGUUUCUCCCUGCUGGCUAGAUUGUAAGUUACUUGAGGUCAGGACCAUGGCUUACCCUUCUUUUGCAUUAUUCCACAGUGCCUAAAGCGGUGCUGAACAUAGAGUUUAGAGCUUGAAUUGGCAAAGGAGACGUGAUAGUGUCCAUGUGCUAACUCCCUCCUCUAAAUUAGCA
Long non-coding RNA from Phascolarctos cinereus (koala), 765 nucleotides. The record is from Ensembl. NCBI's taxonomy places the organism in Eukaryota, Metazoa, Chordata, Mammalia, Diprotodontia, Phascolarctidae.